AGGGAGGACAAAAAAUUAUGGGACUCAAGCCGUUUCAGGCAGACGCACAAGACACUUUGGCCAAAGAGUCACCCCGUCACGUUUCCACACCCGUACACAGAUCACUGGACCAAAAUGAAAACAAGGGUACCAGAUUAUGUUGCAUCCCUUCCAGCUGCCCCAUUGAAAGACACAG
This is a long non-coding RNA of Salarias fasciatus (jewelled blenny), 175 nucleotides long. RefSeq lists it as uncharacterized. The transcript has 3 exons. The record is from RefSeq and is a predicted model, not a curated record. Lineage: Eukaryota; Metazoa; Chordata; Actinopteri; Blenniiformes; Blenniidae.